UCCCAUCCUCCCAUGGGACAGGGAAGGGAAAUGGCUGCAGAGGAGCCAGCUCAGGGCUUCCAGAUUCCACACCUGAUGUGAUCUCGCAGCUGGAACGAGAGGAAGAGCUGUGGAUCCCAGAUCUCCAGUGCUCUGAGAAAGAAGUCCUCCCGAGAGCUGCCUGCACGGGGAGUGACCUAUGUCUGGAUUCGCUCAGUCUCCCAUCAGGUGAUGGGAUGGUGAGUGAA
Long non-coding RNA from Mauremys mutica (yellowpond turtle), 227 nucleotides. RefSeq lists it as uncharacterized. The record is from RefSeq and is a predicted model, not a curated record. NCBI's taxonomy places the organism in Eukaryota, Metazoa, Chordata, Testudines, Geoemydidae. The transcript is spliced from 3 exons.